RNAcentral lists this ribosomal RNA (506 nucleotides) under uncultured bacterium. RNAcentral describes it as "partial 16S ribosomal RNA". It matches the Rfam family "Bacterial small subunit ribosomal RNA", at positions 29 to 523 of the family's 1533-position model. The record is from RNAcentral.
AGUGAACGCUGGCGGUAGGCCUAACACAUGCAAGUCGAACGGCAGCACAGGAGAGCUUGCUCUCUGGGUGGCGAGUGGCGGACGGGUGAGGAAUACAUCGGAAUCUACUUUUUCGUGGGGGAUAACGUAGGGAAACUUACGCUAAUACCGCAUACAACCUACGGGUGAAAGCAGGGGAUCUUCGGACCUUGCGCGAUUGAAUGAGCCGAUGUCGGAUUAGCUAGUUGGCGGGGUAAAGGCCCACCAAGGCGACGAUCCGUAGCUGGUCUGAGAGGAUGAUCGGCCACACGGGAAAUGAGACACGGCCCAGACUCCUGCGGGAGGCAGCAGUGGGGAAUAUUGGAAAAUGGGGAAAAGCUGGAUCCACCCAGACCGCGUGGGUAAAGAGGGCCUUCGGGUCGAAAGACCCUUUUGUUGGGAAAGAAAUCCAGCUGGUUAAUCCCCGGUUGGGAUGACGGUACCCAAAGAAUAAGCACCGGCUAACUUCGUGCCAGCAGCCGCGGUAA